Molecule: long non-coding RNA, 1164 nt
Filed under: Nicotiana benthamiana
Lineage: Eukaryota; Viridiplantae; Streptophyta; Magnoliopsida; Solanales; Solanaceae
Description: long non-coding RNA (NBEN_LNC002796)
Source: RNAcentral
CUAGCUUAAGUGAAGUGAGUUCACUCAAUAACAUCCUCAUAAUACCAUAACCUCAACCAAACUCAACAAUGUGAUAAAGAACUCAACCGUCCCACCACACCUGCACAAACAGUUCACAUUAAAAUCUACCAAUCUACCAUUAAACAAACAUUGGCCAUUUUCUUUUUUCUAUUUUUCCAUAAGCCUCGAGAUCGCGAGAAGCAUGACGAUCAAGUAUAAAACCCGUCCACCUCAUUAAUCAACACUGUAGUAAAAAAUCCAAUUAUCUCACCAUCGAAACACACCAAUCCACUUUAAUGUCUUAAUUUCAAUAAAAGAAAAGAAAAAAGAUCACCAUAAUUUUUUUGCGUUUUUUUCUCAGAUCCAAAAUAGUUUCCACACCCUUGUAGGUUUCUACAAAAAUAGCUACAUUGGAGGAUCCGACACGCACUCACCGUCAAUUUUGAAAAUUGAGCAACAUAGGUGAUAUCACAAGCAAGAAUGACGAUCAAGGAUCAAAACCAAGCACCCACUCCACUCCAACCCAAAAGUUCAAUUUUUUUUAGAUCUCCAUUUCCAAAUAAAAUAUAUACAUAAAAAUCACCAUUUUUUUCCUUUUUCGUCUUCUUUUUCCGAAUAGGGUGUUUGGUUAGUCCAAAUUAAAUGUCAACACAAAGCUUAAAAAACACCAGUGAUGAUAAAAACCGCAAAUGCGGGAUGAGAAAAUUCAAGAAUUACAAAACAGCCACAAAUUCAACGCAUAAAUACACGCAGAUAUAAAAAUUAGUAGAUAAAAAUGAUUUGAAUAAAUGUUUUACCGAGAAUCAUUCCACAAGUGACAAGUGUAAGAAGCCCGAAAACAAUUCUCAUUGCCGAAGCCAUCUUUUUUGCAAGAUUUUCUCGAGAUGGGUAAUUGGAUUUCCGCAGAAAUCUGAACUGAAAUGGAGGAUUUUGUAGUUUGGUUUUUUAACUGAUUUUAUAGGUAAGUGUAAAUUUGAGUGAUUCCGGGAGUAUUAGGAAAGUGAAUAAAGAGAGAUUAUUUGGUUAAUUGCAAUAGAUAUGUUGUACGUUCUGCAUAGAAGAUUGCACUGUCAGUUUUAUUUCCGACUUUGACGAAAUCACAAGUAAAGCUUAUUUGGGUACGUUGAAAGAGUUUGGACUAACCGUGCACCAGGGGACGAAGAC